RNAcentral lists this long non-coding RNA (4401 nucleotides) under Homo sapiens (human). RNAcentral's name for it is "HSALNT0034476". Lineage: Eukaryota; Metazoa; Chordata; Mammalia; Primates; Hominidae. The record is from RNAcentral.
UUUGAACAAGAGCAAUAAUUAUUUCACAGGCUUGUUUUGUAGACUAAUGAGUUAAUACAUGUAAAGUGCUUUAAAAUUAUAUAUCUCAGAGUACAAAUUCAAUAUAUAUGCAAUUCAAUUUUAGAUAUUUUUAUAACUAAAUAAAGGGCAGGAGAUUUGCUAUAAAAUAUAUAAAGCCAUCAAGAUGAGAAAAUCAAGCGUACUCCUAAUAAAGUAGUGAUGAUAUUAGAUUCUAAUAAAAUUUAUUUUGACAAAAAUAACCAUUUGAAAAAUAUUUAAGCAGAACCAUUUAAGCAAUUGCUAUUCAAAAGCAUUUAAACUUCCUAAACAGACUCUGGUUCUGGGUAAGAUAAAGUGUACUUUAUCUUUCUUACUGAGUACACCUAUACAACCUGAGUAGAAUGCAUGGAAAAGCUCUAUGUGGACACAGACAAGUAGUUUGUGGUAGGCAGAUUUGGAAAGGCCAGAAUUUAAAGUUCUACCACACUGUGGUAAUUAUACAUUUUUCCCCUUUUUCACCUUCCUGGCCUUGAGGUUGCCUAAAAUCUGGAUGUGUGUAUUUUGGUAGACAGAAAACACUCCAGGAGGGGCCCACCAGUUCUGACUAGAGGAAUGGAAAUGUGGUUUCCUAACAUUCAGAGUUGGUAGGAGAAAUCCCGGUUUUCUUUUCCUUCUUGUACUUCUUUUUGUCUUCCUACUUAAAAUUAUCUCUCAUUCCAUUCAGUUCCUAGGCAGAUCCACUUGCAGAGAUUGGAGUGAUGGCCACAGUGGAAGCAAGGCAGCUUGCAGGCACCUAAAACUCAGAAAACAGAUCCCCACCAAGUGGAUCUGCCAGCACAGCAGGUAGGCUUCAGACAAGGAGGAACUGCAGACUGACCUCUGACCACCACUCCUUGUUAUAAAUUUCUUCCUCCCAGGCCUGGAGAAACUCACCCCCACAAGCCAGAGCUAACAUUCUUCUUUGCAGACCCCAAAUUUUUAAAUCAAGCUUUUCUUCCUUAACCUUUUGUAUAUCAGAAAAUCUUUUAAUCUACCUGUGACCUAUAAGACCCCUCUUCAAGACAUCCCACACUUUUAGGCCAGCACCACUGUGUAACCUCCAUGUAUUGAUUUUAAGUUUUUCCUGUAACUUCUGCUUUCCUGAAAUCUACCCAUGACUUUACCCCUUAUCUGCAAGCCACUGGGGAGGUUGGGACAUAAGUGUAAGCUGCCUGAUUCUCCUUGCUUGGUGCCCUGCAAAUAUAUGCUUUCCUUUUUCCUGCUGCAAAGGUCAGCGUGGAUAUCUGGUCUUACUGCACCAAGUAAGUGGACCCCUGUUCACUUCCAUAACACAUUCUCACCACCAGCCAGGGGCAAGGAGAGUUAAUCAAGUGCAGCCCACUUAGUUUUCAGAAGAGAAGACUGAAGCCCAACAGGUUUUUACCCCAUCAGCUUUCUCUGCCACCUAGAUUGUGAAUACUAUUUACUAUCACUUGUUUUCUGGGCUUAGAAGCGUGACAACCCAACUUUAAAUCUAAUUCCUAUGUCCCACAUCAACUUUCUAUCUUCUUCUAUUUCUCAGAAACUUCUCUUAUAUUUGUGUGUAAACCAGAAAUAAAAUUCUAAGACCCCUCAACUGACUGAACAGAUCCCCCUUUUGGCCAAGGGCAUUCCAAAGUAAACCUGAAAAACAAGUGCAGUUCAUGAUGGGAAGGGGGAAUCGGACAUGUCUCAUUAUGCCUUCCUCCCUUUGGAAUUCAGGCACAACUGACCAGCAUUAAGAUUAAGACAGAUAUCUUAAGACUGACAAAACACUUUGUAACAAUAAGAUAUCAAGUUCCAACCUGACUAUAGUAUAGCAUCACAUGACAGAUAGCAGGCCUUGAAAGAAAUGAAAAUAUUUUACCCUAAGAUAUAUUUCUUUGACAUAUUUUGAAAUACCCUGCUAAGAUACCUCUUGUGGGGAAAAUGUGCAUUCUAAAGAGAAUCAUUUUCCCUUUACAAGUUUUUCCUUGAUCCAGGAGAGAUUAAAUAAGAGACUGACACAUUUUUGGAUCUGAUUAGAGACAUUUACUAUCUGUCCUUUCUGAAGGCUACUACCUGGAGGGUUCCUCUGCAAGCCAUUGGGGAUGCAUAAUAAGAACUUUGAUCUCCACAACUCCUUAACUCAACCCAGAUACUCCUUUCUAUUGAUUACAGUUCUUCAAUAAUAAUUUAACUCUUUCAACCAAUUGCCCGUCAGAAAAUCUUUGAAUCCACUUGUGAUCUGGAAACCCCCAUUUUGAGUUGUCCUGCUUUGCCAGACUGAACAAAUGUAUACCUUAUGUGUAUUGAUUGAUGGCUGCUUAUAGCCUCUGACCCCCUAAAAUGUAUAAAAUCUAGCUGUAACCCAACCAUCUUUGGAACAUGUUCUCAGGACUUCCUGGGGCUGUGUCACAGGCAUUGGUCACUCAUAUUUGGCUUCUGAAAAUACGUAAACCUCUUUAAAUAUUUUACAGAGUUUAGCUCUUUUUAUGACAUGUAUAUUUAUUUCUCAGAAAGAUCCCCAACCUUAUUUUUCACCUUGAUUAGAGGGCUGAGGUGGAAUAGGUGGAAAGCUUGUCUGGGGUGUGGAAUUUGGGAGCAUAUUGCAAUGUUCAGUGAUUAAUACUAUUUAGAAGAACAAUUUUUGAAAUAAAAAUUAAUUGCAAAACAUGACGGUAAAAUAGAAAACAGUUAAACAAAAGUAAAAACCAAUUAACAGUGCUUUGUGAAGCAAUAUUAAAAACUGAGGCAAAAUAAUAAUAAUCAAUUAUAUUUGCCUUAUUUUUAUUUGGAAUUUGGAUGGUUUGUUCCUCAUGGAUUUUUCUCUUUUUUGGCAUCAAUUUAGUGUAUUAAACGUUGCAAAUAAAUGGUGCAUGGAAAUGUUCUUUUGAUCGAUGAAUUUUUUGGUGACCCCUUGGAUUUUAGAGCUCAGAAAAAGUGCAUCUCUUGUCUUAACCUGAUCCUGACCCUGAGUACUGCACCUCCUAAGUGGAGACUUAUGGAAACAGCAAGAGGCUCCUGACCAUGAUGAGAAACAGGUUAAAUCAUUUGGAAAUGAGAGCAUGGACAGAAUGAACAAUGUUUUGAGUGAGAGAAGGGGAAAGAUUUAAUUCUUUCUUACAAAAAUGUAUGAAAUUUUUCCUUUAUUGGCUAGCACUAGACAUUUUCUGAAAGGAGGGAUUAAAUUUUAUUGAAGACCACUUUUUUUAAAUAAACUACUUAAUGUGAAGAUAAAACUCUGAAUAUCUACAUUAUUAGUAACCAUGAUGAUUUUCUUAAAAAGACAAUUAAACAGGUUUUUCAAUCAGAAAUACAAAAUAAUAGAGGAGGAAAAAUCUGAUAAGAGAACAGGAGAGGCAUCAUUUUGGGAACAGGAAUUGCCAAUGCCUACGUUGUUUGCAUAUGAAAUGUAGAUUCUUCCAUCUUCCUAAACUUUCCAGUGAAGUCCACAUAAAUGCCUAUGUGAGUAGGUUUUGUCUUAUUUUUGUGUUGUGCAAAUUAGAAAAGGGUACAUAUUUUCUGCCAGUGACAAUAACAGCAAGAAAAUGAGAGAAUUCCUCAAUUGAACUAAUUCAGCAAAAGCAAGAGCUCCAAGUCAGAGAAGGAUAUGAUAAUACUGGUUCGUUUAGAGUUCUCAGGAAUCUCAUAAAAGGCCUUGGGCUUUCCAAUAUUUUAAAAAGUUGAAUCCAUUCUUCCCUGACUCAAGGUCUCUGUGGCUACAGCUGAUGUGUAGUCAAGCCAUUACCAUGGCUUCUCAGCAUAAAUAGAAAAUACUAACACUUUAUGGUCUCAAAAUUUUGUAGACUCUGAACUUUCUUGUAUGUGAUUAUGCAGAAUUUCUUAAAUGUUUCUUAAUCAGCCAGUAAAAUAGUCACCUUUCUUCCAAAGUUAAGAAAAGUUACCAAAACUUGGCAAUAAGAAAUAAGGCAAUUAAGUAAGUGGCAUGUCUUUUCAAUGUCAUAUGGGGAAAAAAGCCCACUUAAGGACUGUCUAAGAUAAUGCACUUUCUUCUACUCAUUGUUUACUCUUCUUCAGAAUUCCUGAACUUAAAGAAGUUACAUGUAAGUAGUUGGAUUUUUGUUCAUUUUGUAAAAACACAAAAACAGUCUGUCUGGCAGAAAGAAAGAUAACAACAAAGUUUACAAUUUAGUGAACUGGAAGAUAUUAGUUACUCUCUUCAAUCUUGUUGAAUUGGUCUAAACAUCUUUUUGUUUUUUUCAUUAAUUAAUGAAUUAAAUAAAACUUUUGACAUAUGUUCAUUACAAAAACAAUUAAAAAUUAUUUGUUGAACUCAAUAUCUGAAUUAGCUUAAAAUCAGAAUGGAGAUGACAGGGAGGAAUUAGCAAUCUUAAAGAUGGAUCAGUAGAAAUUAUCCAAGCUGAACAACAGACAGAGGAA